This 740-nucleotide ribosomal RNA is filed under the name Pyrenula sp. F 19113-n. Its description in RNAcentral is "eukaryotic LSU rRNA". It matches the Rfam family "Eukaryotic large subunit ribosomal RNA", at positions 289 to 985 of the family's 3401-position model. The record is from RNAcentral. Lineage: Eukaryota; Fungi; Ascomycota; Eurotiomycetes; Pyrenulales; Pyrenulaceae.
AAAMUGGGGGGUAAAUUUCAUCUAAAGCUAAAUAUUGGCCAGAGACCGAUAGCGCACAAGUAGAGUGAUCGAAAGAUGANCCCCACUUUGAAAAGAGAGUUAAACAGCAUGUGAAAUUGUUGAAAGGGAAGCGCUUGCAACCAGACUUGUGGGCGGCAGUUCAGCCGUUAUUCUUAACGGUGCACUCUGCCGUUUCCGGGCCAGCAUCGGUUCAGGUAACCGGUUAAAGGCCUGGGGAACGUAUCUGCCUCUCGGGGCAGACUUAUAGCCCCAGGUGGCAUCCGGCUCAUCUGGACCGAGGCACGCGCUUCGGCACGGAUGCUGGUGUAAUGGUUGUAAGCGGCCCGUCUUGAAACACGGACCAAGGAGUCUAACAUCUAUGCGAGUGUUUGGGCGUUAAAACCCCAGCGCGGAAUGAAAGUGAACGGAGGUAGGAGCCCUCUGGGCGCACUAUCGACCGAUCCUGAUGUCUUCGGAUGGAUUUGAGUAAGAGCAUAGCUGUUGGGACCCGAAAGAUGGUGAACUAUGCCUGAAUAGGGUGAAGCCAGAGGAAACUCUGGUGGAGGCUCGCAGCGGUUCUGACGUGCAAAUCGAUCGUCAAAUUUAGUCAUAGGGGCGAAAGGUAAGCGUUCUUUUUAAUCUGAAAUAUAUUCUGUAGACUCUGGGGGGGUUUUUUCUCUGUAGACUAAUCGAACCAUCUGGUAGCUGGUUCCUGCCGAAGUUUCCCUCAGGAUAGCAGU